GCGAGUGAAGCGGGCAACAGCUCAAAUUUGAAAUCUGGCCUCGGCCCGAGUUGUAAUUUGUAGAGGAUGCUUCGGGCGAGGCGCCUUCCGAGUCUCCUGGAACGGCGCGCCACAGAGGGUGAGAGCCCCGUAUGGUUGGACGCCAAGCCUGUGUGAAGCUCCUUCGACGAGUCGAGUAGUUUGGGAAUGCUGCUCAAAAUGGGAGGUAAACACCUUCUAAAGCUAAAUACCGGCCAGAGACCGAUAGCGCACAAGUAGAGUGAUCGAAAGAUGAAAAGCACUUUGAAAAGAGGGUCAAACAGUACGUGAAAUUGCUGAAGGGGAAGCGCUUGUGACCAGACUUGCGCCCGGCGGCUCAACCGGCGUUCUCGCCGGCCCCGUACCGCCGGGCUCAGGCCAGCGUCGGUUUCCGACGGGGGAUAAAGGCGUCGGGGACGUGGCUCCUCCGGGAGUGUUAUAACCCGACGCGUAAUACCCCGACGGGGACCGAGGUUCGCGCUCCGCAAGGACGCUGGCGUAAUGGUCACCAGCGACCCGUCUUGAAACACGGACCAAGGAGUCGAGGUUUUGCGCGAGUGUUUGGGUGUCAAACCCGCACGCGUAAUGAAAGUGAACGUAGGUGAGAGCUUCGGCGCAUCAUCGACCGAUCCUGAUGUUCUCGGAUGGAUUUGAGUAAGAGCGUAAUGCCUCGGACCCGAAAGAUGGUGAACUAUGCUUGUAUAGGGUGAAGCCAGAGGAAACUCUGGUGGAGGCUCGCAGCGGUUCUGACGUGCAAAUCGAUCGUCAAAUAUGAGCAUG
Molecule: ribosomal RNA, 798 nt
Filed under: Mahabalella pernambucana
Lineage: Eukaryota; Fungi; Ascomycota
Description: partial 28S large subunit ribosomal RNA
Rfam family: Eukaryotic large subunit ribosomal RNA
Source: RNAcentral